This 253-nucleotide ribosomal RNA is filed under the name uncultured bacterium. RNAcentral's name for it is "partial 16S ribosomal RNA". It matches the Rfam family "Bacterial small subunit ribosomal RNA", at positions 524 to 776 of the family's 1533-position model. The record is from RNAcentral.
UACGAAGGGGGCUAGCGUUGCUCGGAAUCACUGGGCGUAAAGCGCACGUAGGCGGCUUUCUAAGUCAGGGGUGAAAUCCUGGAGCUCAACUCCAGAACUGCCUUUGAUACUGGUAAGCUCGAGUCCGGGAGAGGUGAGUGGAACUGCGAGUGUAGAGGUGAAAUUCGUAGAUAUUCGCAAGAACACCAGUGGCGAAGGCGGCUCACUGGCCCGGUACUGACGCUGAGGUGCGAAAGCGUGGGGAGCAAACAGG